Molecule: ribosomal RNA, 501 nt
Filed under: uncultured bacterium
Lineage: Bacteria
Description: bacterial SSU rRNA
Rfam family: Bacterial small subunit ribosomal RNA
Source: RNAcentral
AAAUGAAUAGACGGGGGCUCACACAAGCGGUGGAGGAUGUGGCUUAAUUCGAGGCUACGCGAAGAACCUUAUCCAGGCCUUGACAUGUACGGAUGCUGCCCGUGAAAGCGGGUUAGUUGCCUUCGGGUGAAACGUGCACAGGUGCUGCAUGGCUGUCGUCAGCUCGUGUCGUGAGAUGUCGGGUUAAGUCCCUUAACGAGCGAAACCCUUGUCUCUAGUUGCCAGCGAGUAAUGUCGGGGACUCUAGAGAGACUGCCGGUGUUAAACCGGAGGAAGGUGGGGAUGACGUCAAGUCCUCAUGGCCUUUAUGGUCUGGGCUGCACACGUCCUACAAUGGCAUAUACAAAGGGAUGCUACCUCGCGAGAGCAAGCAAAUCCCAAAAAGUAUGCCCCAGUUCGGAUUGCAGGCUGCAACUCGCCUGCAUGAAGCCGGAAUCGCUAGUAAUCGUGGAUCAGCAUGCCACGGUGAAUAUGUUCCUGAGCCUUGUACACACCGCCCGU